GAACGAUGAUGCCCACUUGUGGGUGGAUUAGUGGCGAACGGGUGAGUAACACGUGAGUAACCUGCCCUUGACUCUGGGAUAAGCCUGGGAAACUGGGUCUAAUACCGGAUAUGACCUUCCAUCGCAUGGUGGUUGGUGGAAAGCUUUUGUGGUUUUGGAUGGACUCGCGGCCUAUCAGCUUGUUGGUGGGGUAAUGGCCUACCAAGGCGACGACGGGCAGCCGGCCUGAGAGGGUGACCGGCCACACUGGGACUGAGACACGGCCCAGACUCCUACGGGAGGCAGCAGUGGGGAAUAUUGCACAAUGGGCGCAAGCCUGAUGCAGCGACGCCGCGUGAGGGAUGACGGCCUUCGGGUUGUAAACCUCUUUCAGUAGGGAAGAAGCGAAAGUGACGGUACCUGCAGAAGAAGCGCCGGCUAACUACGUGCCAGCAGCCGCGGUAAUACGUAGAGCGCAAGCGUUAUCCGGAAUUAUUGGGCGUAAAGAGCUCGUAGGCGGUUUGUCGCGUCUGCCGUGAAAGUCCGGGGCUCAACUCCGGAUCUGCGGUGGGUACGGGCAGACUGGAGUGAUGUAGGGGAGACUGGAAUUCC
Molecule: ribosomal RNA, 591 nt
Filed under: bacterium TN95A
Lineage: Bacteria
Description: bacterial SSU rRNA
Rfam family: Bacterial small subunit ribosomal RNA
Source: RNAcentral